AUGAUGGGGCGCUCGGGUAGAAAGAGAAGCAGCUCGGUUUGGGACUGCUUCAAACAGGUCGGAAACUAUGUACAAUGUACACGAUGUAAUGCAACAUUGAAGUAUUGUGGCGGGGCUACAAGCACCAUGAUCAAUCACAUGAAGAAGCACACACCAUUCACAAAACCGAUAAACAACGAGGAGGAGGUUGAGGAAAAGCCGAUCAUCUGUAUGGUUGAAACAGUUGAUGAAGAAGGCAAUUCCGGGCAGAUAUCACAAGCGUUUUUACAGUCUCCCAACACCUCAUCUGACUGCACCGAAAUUAUCGACAGAAAGCGUUUAAAGCGAAGUUCUGUCUGGGAUGUGUUCAUUAAAGUAGGGGACGAGGUCCACUGCACAAUGUGUGACUCCAAACUUAAAUACAGAAGUAGCACCACCAGCAUGAUUUACCAUAUUAGAAACAAGCACUCAGAAGCGCUUCCUACUCAUGCUCAGGUGAAUGAGCUCAUAUGUAAAAUGAUUGAGAAGGACAUGCUUCCUAUCAGCGUGGUGAGUGGUGAAGGCUUUUGUGAUCUGCUUGCAUUUACAGUGCAGAAUUUCAAAAUGCCAUCACCCAUUGACAUCACGCGGCUCAUUGAGGGACAUUUUCAUGAGAGAGUAGAGGAACUCCAAUUACAGUUGACUAAAGUGGACAAAGUGGCCCUAACUGCAGAUUUUUGGACAGGUCUUCCAUCUCAGAAAUAUGUGACAGUUUCAUGUUCUUUCAUAACUGAUGACUGGCAGGGCAAGUGGGCUGUACUGCAAACUGACAAGCUUCCAUCGAACAGCAGCAUCACUACCGAAUGUGUCUCAGAAAGGCUUCUUAAAACUGUAGAGACAUGGGGCCUUGCUCAAAAGGUCACAGCUUGUGUUCAGAAUACAGUGCAUAUCUUUCCAACUGGUGACUGUGCUAAAAUAACAUGGGACUAUGCCACCUGCUUCUCCAAAACACUGCAAUUGGCAGUAAAUGAUGGACUUUCUGAAGAUCUCCUCCAUAUUAUAACAGCGGCAGGGAAACUAGUUAGACACUUUAAUAUUAACCACAUGGCAAAUCAAGCUUUGCAGCAAAACAGCUUCAGAUGUGCUUGCCACAAGUCAAGCUAA
RNAcentral lists this long non-coding RNA (1122 nucleotides) under Neogobius melanostomus (round goby). RNAcentral describes it as "lncRNA (ENSNMLG00000015618.1)". The record is from RNAcentral. Lineage: Eukaryota; Metazoa; Chordata; Actinopteri; Gobiiformes; Gobiidae.